GUCGGGAUAGCUCAGUUGGUAGAGCAGAGGACUGAAAAUCCUCGUGUCACCAAGUUCAAAUACA
Molecule: transfer RNA, 64 nt
Filed under: Phoenix dactylifera (date palm)
Lineage: Eukaryota; Viridiplantae; Streptophyta; Magnoliopsida; Arecales; Arecaceae
Description: partial tRNA-Phe
Rfam family: tRNA
About the family: Transfer RNA (tRNA) molecules are approximately 80 nucleotides in length. Their secondary structure includes four short double-helical elements and three loops (D, anti-codon, and T loops). Further hydrogen bonds mediate the characteristic L-shaped molecular structure. tRNAs have two regions of fundamental functional importance: the anti-codon, which is responsible for specific mRNA codon recognition, and the 3' end, to which the tRNAs corresponding amino acid is attached (by aminoacyl-tRNA synthetases). tRNAs cope with the degeneracy of the genetic code in two manners: having more than one tRNA (with a specific anti-codon) for a particular amino acid; and 'wobble' base-pairing, i.e. permitting non-standard base-pairing at the 3rd anti-codon position.
Source: RNAcentral